AUAGUUUGAUCCGUGGGUCAGAACGAACGCUGGCGGCAGGCCUAAUACAUGCAAGUCGAGCGCAUCCUUCGGGAUGAGCGGCGGACGGGUGAGUAACGCGUGGGAAUAUGCCCUUCUCUAAGGAAUAGCCUCGGGAAACUGAGAGUAAUACCUUAUACGCCCUUCGGGGGAAAGAUUUAUCGGAGAAGGAUUAGCCCGCGUUAGAUUAGGUAGUUGGUGGGGUAAUGGCCUACCAAGCCUACGAUCUAUAGCUGGUUUGAGAGGAUGAUCAGCCACACUGGGACUGAGACACGGCCCAGACUCCUACGGGAGGCAGCAGUAGGGAAUCUUAGACAAUGGGGGAAACCCUGAUCUAGCCAUGCCGCGUGUGUGAUGAAGGCCUUAGGGUCGUAAAGCACUUUCGCCAGAGAUGAUAAUGACAGUAUCUGGUAAAGAAACCCCGGCUAACUCCGUGCCAGCAGCCGCGGUAAUACGGAGGGGGUUAGCGUUGUUCGGAAUUACUGGGCGUAAAGCGCACGUAGGCGGAUUAGUAAGUUAGAGGUGAAAUCCCAGGGCUCAACCCUGGAACUGCCUUUAAUACUGCUAGUCUUGAGUUCGAGAGAGGUAAGUGGAAUUCCGAGUGUAGAGGUGAAAUUCGUAGAUAUUCGGAGGAACACCAGUGGCGAAGGCGGCUUACUGGCUCGAUACUGACGCUGAGGUGCGAAAGUGUGGGGAG
Molecule: ribosomal RNA, 715 nt
Filed under: uncultured bacterium
Lineage: Bacteria
Description: bacterial SSU rRNA
Rfam family: Bacterial small subunit ribosomal RNA
Source: RNAcentral